Molecule: non-coding RNA, 24 nt
Filed under: Mus musculus (house mouse)
Lineage: Eukaryota; Metazoa; Chordata; Mammalia; Rodentia; Muridae
Also listed under: 1 other name
Source: RNAcentral
UGGAAAGCUGACUGGGCCAUGGGC